RNAcentral lists this ribosomal RNA (357 nucleotides) under uncultured bacterium. RNAcentral describes it as "bacterial SSU rRNA". It matches the Rfam family "Bacterial small subunit ribosomal RNA", at positions 128 to 486 of the family's 1533-position model. The record is from RNAcentral.
ACCUCUUACUGAGGGAUAGCCCAGAGAAAUUUGGAUUAAUACCUCAUAAUACCAUAAGAUCGCCUGAUCACUUGGUUAAAGGGUACGGUAAGAGAUGAGCCUCCGGACUAUUAGUUUGUUGGUGAGGUAAUGGCUCACCAAGACUACGAUGGGUAUGGGGUCUGAGAGGAUUAUCCCCCACACUGGUACUGAGACACGAGCAGACUCCUACGGGAGGCAGCAGUGAGGAAUAUUGCGCAAUGGACGAAAGUCUGACGCAGCCAUGCCGCGUGAAGGAUGACGGCGCUACGCGUUGUAAACUUCUUUUAUAUACCAAGAAACCUUCGGACGUGUCCGAAGCUGACGGUAGUAUAUGAA